ACCCUAGCCCCUUUCCCCGAUCCCCACAGCAGCCGCACCCUCUCCUCGCUCGCAGCCGCCUCCUCUCCUCUCCCCCACGCCGCCGGCCUUGUCUCUUCGCUCGCCUCCUCCUCUCUUCCAUGCCUCCAUGGUUCCAGAUUGGGCACUGGUCGCCGUCGUGCGAGAGCAGGGCAGCGGGGUCUUCGCGGAGGAGUGGAGGGGGAGGAUGCGGACGACAGGGCGAAGGAGGUGGCUGGCGAGGAGGACAAGCAGCAGGGGGGAGGAGAAGGGUGACGCCUCGCACACCGUCUCCUCCCCGCGGCGGUUGGCCGGUCGACUCGUCGCGCCACCGCGUCCUCACCUCCUCUGCGCCAUGAGAGGCGCCGCCUCUGCUUCCACCCCCGCUUCCUGCUUCCUUCCUCCUUGGCACCACAGCUGCCGCUCUACUCCCUCCCUUGUCAGCCACCGGCUCACGAACCUCCCUCGUUUGGGCCAGGGCAGAAGGCCAUGGCGAAUCUUGCGCCUCUAGAAGAAGCAGCAGGGUUGGUGGAGCGUCGAAUACGGGCGGGGUCAACGGUUGAGGGAGGGUCGCCCACCGAAGCAGCAGGAGAAAGACCUUGAGUGAAGCUGCAUCAUCCAACACAGCGAGAUGAAAUACUCAGAAGAAAUUGCAGCAAGUGCGAUUGAUAGUCAGGGAAUUGAUUUGAUUCUGAAUCUUCCGUUCUUCGGGAUGGGUAUGUCAGCUACGAGCUCUACCGCCGAGUUCUGUCUAUGAAGGACAUGAUGCAUCCUCGUUGUCUUCCCGACCCCAGACGCCGUUGAUGCUUCUGAGCAGAACUCCAACUGAGUAGAAUGGUCCCGGUGGUCUGAGCAGAAUGGACUCCUGGAAGACUUUCAUUUCUUUUUUUCUAUAAUUAAUGAGUACUUUUAGUUCAAACCUAUGGAGUAUCGUCUCAUGUUAUGUGAAUAUAACUUCUUAUGUUUUUUCAUGUUACAAGUUCAUUGUUGACGUUUGCGCGAGUUCAUGUACAUUUAGUGGACCCGUUGAAGUGGCGCAUAUGUAUUGGUUGGGAGAAGCGCGCUUUGUGUUUGGCUUA
Aegilops tauschii subsp. strangulata is the source of this 1076-nucleotide long non-coding RNA. RefSeq lists it as uncharacterized. The record is from RefSeq and is a predicted model, not a curated record. Lineage: Eukaryota; Viridiplantae; Streptophyta; Magnoliopsida; Poales; Poaceae.